RNAcentral lists this ribosomal RNA (1432 nucleotides) under uncultured Prochlorococcus sp. RNAcentral's name for it is "bacterial SSU rRNA". It matches the Rfam family "Bacterial small subunit ribosomal RNA". Lineage: Bacteria; Bacillati; Cyanobacteriota; Cyanophyceae; Synechococcales; Prochlorococcaceae. The record is from RNAcentral.
AGAGUUUGAUCCUGGCUCAGGAUGAACGCUGGCGGCGUGCUUAACACAUGCAAGUCGAACGAACCUUCGGGUUAGUGGCGGACGGGUGAGUAACGCGUGAGAAUCUGCCCUCAGGAGGGGGAUAACGGUUGGAAACGACCGCUAAUACCCCAUAUGCCUACUGGUGAAAUGAAUUUCGCCUGAGGAUGAGCUCGCGUCUGAUUAGCUAGUUGGUGAGGUAAUGGCUCACCAAGGCUUCGAUCAGUAGCUGGUCUGAGAGGAUGAUCAGCCACACUGGGACUGAGACACGGCCCAGACUCCUACGGGAGGCAGCAGUGGGGAAUUUUCCGCAAUGGGCGAAAGCCUGACGGAGCAACGCCGCGUGAGGGACGAAGGCCUCUGGGCUGUAAACCUCUUUUCUCAAGGAAGAAGAUAUGACGGUACUUGAGGAAUAAGCCACCGCUAAUUACGUGCCAGCAGCGCGGUAUACCGGAGUGCCAAGCGUAAUCCGAGUAAUGGCGUAAAGCGUCGCAGCGCCCUUCAAGUCUGCUGUAAAGCGUGAGCUUAACUCCAUCAUGGCAGUGGAAACUGAAAGGCUUGAGUAUGGUAGGGGCAGAGGGAAUUCCCGGUGUAGCGGUGAAAUGCGUAGAUAUCGGGAAGAACACCAGUGGCGAAGGCGCUCUGCUGGGCCAUUACUGACGCUCAUGGACGAAAGCCAGGGGAGCGAAAGGGAUUAGAUACCCCUGUAGUCCUGGCCGUAAACGAUGAACACUAGGUGUCGGGGGAAUCGACCCCUUCGGUGUCGUAGCUAACGCGUUAAGUGUUCCGCCUGGGGAGUACGCACGCAAGUGUGAAACUCAAAGGAAUUGACGGGGGCCCGCACAAGCGGUGGAGUAUGUGGUUUAAUUCGAUGCAACGCGAAGAACCUUACCAAGGUUUGACAUCCUGCGAACCUCUAGAAAUUGAGGAUGCAUCCGGCAAUGCAGUGACAGGUGGGAUGGCCAGCGUCAGCUCGUGUCGUGAGAUGUUGGGUUAAGUCCCGCAACGAGCGCAACCCACGUUUUUAGUUGCCAGCAUUUAGUUGGGCACUCUAGAAAGACCGCCGGUGAUAAACCGGAGGAAGGUGUGGAUGACGUCAAGUCAUCAUGCCCCUUACACCCUGGGCUACACACGUACUACAAUGCUACGGACAAAGGGCAGCAAACUCGCGAGAGCUAGCAAAUCCCAUAAACCGUGGCUCAGUUCAGAUCGUAGGCUGCAACUCGCCUACGUGAAGUAGGAAUCGCUAGUAAUCGCAGGUCAGCAUACUGCGGUGAAUACGUUCCCGGGCCUUGUACACACCGCCCGUCACACCAUGGAAGUUGGCCAUGCCCGAAGUCGUUACUCCAACCCUUGUGGAGGAGGACGCCGAAGGUGGGGCUAAUGACUGGGGUGAAGUCGUAACAAGGUAACC